Molecule: unclassified non-coding RNA, 5674 nt
Filed under: Lytechinus variegatus (green sea urchin)
Lineage: Eukaryota; Metazoa; Echinodermata; Echinoidea; Temnopleuroida; Toxopneustidae
Description: bifunctional epoxide hydrolase 2-like, transcript variant X2
Source: RNAcentral
GACUUGUUAUCAACGAGAACGGGUGCACAGUAGUUAACCCUCAGAUAAAUGUUCUAUAAAUACGGUUUGCACACAAUCACGACAAUGUUCAAGUAUAUUUGAUCAACAUUUUUAGCGCAGGAUUUCUAAAUUAAGGACAAAACAUUCGGAUGAACUUGAUGUAUUACCUUGUUUUUAAUCGUCUCGUCAAUGUUUGUUUUGCGAUUGUGCUCAUAUUUUGGGAUAUUUGUCUACCCGUAUUUAGACUGAAAGUGGAGUCAUCAAAGUCAUCUUCUGCUGGUUCAACUUUGGAUCUAGUAUUUUGGAAAUGCUGAUAUUUUUCAUUUAUCAUAGAUAAGAUUAAAUUGGAUAACAAUGUUGAUAUAUAAAUCUGAUCCGACCUACAUCGAUUCGGAGUUUCGAGUUGACGAUCGAGCCCGGCUAGAAGUCGGAGAAAUCCCCACCGUCCCUGACGCCGUCUGCCUCCACUGCCGGAAAAGCAAGAGAAAAUUCCGAAAAGUUUUUUCCUACCUGCGCUCCCACCUGAAGUGGAAGAGGGGAAAGCAGACAUCUUCUUCGAUGCCGAUGUCGACGACGACGGCGACGGAUAUGGGCGAUAAGAAAGUGGUCCUGUUCGAUCUCGGGGGUGUGAUCGUUACCCCACCCCAAAGGGCGCUCUUGAAGUACUGCGAGGAAGCUGGACUGCCCAGGAAUUUCAUCUUUAACGUGAUAUCGCAAGGUCGGGCAAACAACACAUUCGGUCGCCUUGAAACGGGGGAACUAACAGUUACUCAGUUUGCGACCGAAUUCGAGCAGGAAUGUAGGCGGGUAGCCGAGGAGCAGGGUUUGGUGAUACCGGAUAGGUUCAGUGCAACCGAGAUGAUCCAUUUCAAAGAUCCGGAUCUUAUUCCGGAGAUGCUCAACGCUGUAGCCGUACUAAAAGAACACGGUGUUAAGACAUGUGCCCUCACAAACAACUACAUUGACAACACCUCAAACCGAGCCUAUGCAGCAGGCGGAUUAACCGCGUUUACCCUCUACUUUGACGAAUUUGUGGAAUCGUGUCGGUUAGGUGUCCGAAAACCGGACCCGAGCAUAUUUCAGGAGGCUCUGUCGAGACUUGGCGCCGAAGCAAACCAGGCUGUUUUCUUGGACGAUUCUGAAGUAAACACUAAGGCAGCCGAAGCUCUGGGGAUGUCCACCAUCUUGGUCGAUGAAUCGAAAAGUGCUCUAGAACAGCUCAAAAUCAUGACUGGAAUUGAUGUCUUCAAGCAAGCCGGACCUAUCACCGUUGAUUCCGAAGAGGUCACACACAGUUACGUCACAACCAGGAGUAAAGUUCGGUUUCAUUUCGCUGAGCUUGGAAACGGGCCUCCUGUGCUUCUGUGCCACGACUUUGAAGAAGACUGGGAGGCAUGGAGAAGUCAGAUGCCAGAACUCGCCAUAGCAGGAUUUCGAGCCAUUGCCUUGGAUUUGAAAGGAUUUGGAGAAAGCAGCAAGCCAUCGGAUGUAGAGCAGUACACAUUGAAAAUCUUAUGUCGGGAUAUAUCCGAGUUCUUGGAUGCGCUGGGAAUCGCCCAGGUCACCCUCAUCGGUCAAGGCAUGGGGGCGGCAUUCGCUUGGACAUUCGCAAACCACAACACAGACAGAGUUCGAGCCGUUGCUGGAAUCAACACAUCUCCCUCUAUCGUCCUUCCCGAAACAUUGUGCGGUGGCCAAAUCAAGAGAAUGGGGUCUCUUCGUGAUUUCAUCAGAUUUCGCCAAUCAGUAAAAGACAACAAUAACAACAAUCAAGAUGUGGAGAUGGAACAAUUCUACAGAAUAGCCACCUACCAUUCUAGCGAUGAUACUAAUCCGACCAACUUAAAGAGAGGGCAUUGCCAUCUGGGUAUUGAAAUUACAGAUCUAGACCUGUCAACGAGGACAUCGAUGUCAAUGAAUUGUCUCUGUUUCGAAGCAGAAAAACGAGCCAAGAAAUUUUGCAGUUAUCACCAGAGCAUUAAAGCAAAAUCUCAACCAAAGGGAGCUAAUUGGUUCAGGAACAACACGGCCAAUUGGGAAUGGAACCGGCGACUUUACGGCCGAAUGCUCAUCGUUCCAUCUUUGGUCGUGACAUCAGGUCAAGGGUCACCAAAGAAUAUCCCGGAUGUCAGUGAACUACAGAAAUGGGUCCCCGACAUUGAACAUAGCCAUAUUUCAGGCUGCGAGAUCAAAACAGCCCCAGAACGAUCCUCAGAACUUAACCGAAUUCUUCGUAAAUGGCUCUUUACGAAUCACGCAGGCGAACAUACACCCCUAAUGCCAAUGUCCGUUGAUUGACAUACCCGACAGUAACCACAAGAUGGCGUCCUUCAAAUGAAAGAGAACAAACUAUUGACCAAUUUGGUGUAUUUGGAUUGAAAGAAAUUACGAGAGACCUACCUCAUAUUGAUGGAUAGUUGAUUGGGAGGAAAAAUCAGAUUCAGUCGUUGCUUCAAGAUGGCGCCCUACUCAAAGUGGAGAACAAAGUAUUGACCAAUCGGGCAUGGAAUGUUACUAUGCAGAGUUUCCCGAUCCACCUGAGAAUGUCUUUGGAUUGGAGGAAAUAACAAGAGAGCGAAGUCAUGUCGAAGGUUAAUUCAUUCUUAGGGAAACGAUCAGAUUUAAUUGUCGUCAUAAGAUGGCGCCCUAAUCAUCAAUAAGAACAAACCAUUGAUCACUUUGGCAUGGAAUAUCAAAUACCGUAGACAUGGUUUUCAAAUCCUUUAGAGUAAAUCUUUGGAUUUAAAGUAAAUUUGAAAGAGCUUGGUCAUCUUGGAUAAUAAUAUAUUUUGAGGAAACGAUCAGGCUCAGUCGUUGCUAAAAGAUAGCGCCCUAUUAAAUUGACCAAGGAGAACAUACUAUUGACCAUAGAUAUGGGUUAAAUACAUCUGUGCUAUUGGCCAUUUGGCAUGGAAUAUCAACAUGAUCAAAAUGCCACAGACAUGGUUUCCUGAUCCGUGAAUAUCUUUUGAUUGAAAGAAAUUACGAGAGAGCUCCGCCAUCUCGAAAGCUGAUGAUUUGGUGGAAAAAGAUCAACGAUCUCGAAUCUGAAUAGGCUUACAUCAAACCAGAAAUGAAACCAACCGGAAAUGGAACAAAUCGGAAGUGGAUCAAACCGGAAGCGGAUCAAAUCGUGUCAAUAGACGCGAAUUUAACACAAAAUUGUGAAGGAAAUUGUGUCUCAAUAAUUUUUCCUGAGUAUAUAAAUCUCUACUCAAUCUGAUGAUAGUAUAUAUUGUAUAACGAAGUGUCAUAAUGUUAGAAAGGGAGAGAAGGGGUAUAUUCCUCUCUCUCUAUCUCUCUCUCUCUCUCCUUCACAUAAUGAUCGUCUUGUAGGUUCAGAACAUGGUACACGUUUAUGUUAGGGGAGCCUUUGUAAAGAAAAUGUGUAAAAGUAGUGAAUCCGACAUGUCCGGGAAAUGCAGAAAAACCUAUGACAUCGGACAUUGUCUGUUAAAACUAAAAUGGGAAGUGUAAAUUGUGAAAUAUAACACUUUUGUCAAAUAAACAUGUCGUUGUAAAUUAUUCCGAUAUGAAUAUUCUGAAUUGCAAAAUUUGAUUUGUUUUUUUUAGGCAUAGUAUAUUAAUAAUAAUUUUUUGAAGGAGAUGCCCUUUGGAAUAAUUGGGUUAUCUUACAGAGUGAGAUUUCAAAGAAGAAAGAAGCUUGAUAAUCACUCAUGACGAUUUUGGCUUAUUGAGAUGGUUAGCAACCAUUAAUUGUGAUUAAUAUUAACUUAAUGCAAUCUGUAUAUGUCUGUAUAAUAAUGUAUAAUUAUCAGUACAUAAUAAUGAUGUAUGAAUUAUGUAUAUGUAUAUUCUCAGGAAAAUGUGAUAAAAUGUUCAUAAAUUUGUGUGAUAUAAUAAAAUAAAAUCUAUCCGUCUAACAACACUAUAGUUUUAUGUAUAUACAUAUUUUUUUUUACUUUAGACGUCGACGCAUAAAUCCUAUCGCCUUAGGCCAAUUUGGCCUCAGAGGCUUAACAAAAAUAACCAAGACAAUAUGAUCCUGAUUUUUGCACCAAUCAACAUUCAGAGUAAAAGUGGAAUUCAUACACACGUACGUUUCUUCUUUGGUUUAAACGACCUGUUGAGAACCACACACGAGAUAUUGAUAUUUUGUCUCUUUUCUAAUGGCAUAUCGCCCUCUACUGUUGGUUGGUCCCAAAGCAUUUACUGAUAGAGAAAAUUGCACUUACCUAUGAAACAAAUUCGUUUCUGACAGAAUUUUCAAGCUUAAUCCACCCUCAAAUUUCAAAAGUUGGUUUUGGCUAAACAGAUCAUAAAAUUAAGUAACUGCCCCUUUAUUCGAUGCUAAUCUUUUCAAUCAUGUUUCUCUUUGUUAUUUUAAAAAUGUACAUAUUUCUACUAUACAGUAUUAUAAUAUAUACAUCAUGUAAAUCUACUUUUAACCAGGAAUAUUAUGAUUAUUCCAUAAAUUUCUGUCGAUUCAGAGAAAAUUUUUGUUUCAUGUAAAUGUUUUCAUUAUAACCAUGAUAACGCUCUAUCCAAGCUAGUCUCGGAGCAGUAUUUGAUAUUGCAAUUGUUUGUAUAUUUUGUGUAACACAAUACAUAAUAACAAAUUUAUUCGGAAUUUACAUGCGUUUUACAUGCAAACCUAUUUUCUUAUAAACUUUCAAUGCGAGUUGAAUUAAUAGAUUCAAUAUAUAUGUUUACAAAUCAAACACGCACAUCCCCUUUUUUUUUGGGGGGGGGGGUUGGGGCCGGCGUUUGUUGAUUAAAGUAGAACCGAAUCCAAUGAAAACAAAUCUGUUCUGUUUCGAUAGAAGGCGCUACAUGAGAUCAUUUACUCAUCACUCAUCUGCAAAUCUAAAAGAUUAUAUUUCUAUUUUGUUCAGGGAAAAAGGUCAUCUUUCGCAAAGUCGGUUUUCUUUGUCGAUCGAUAUAAUAAUAAUAUUUCAUUUACCCAGGGUAGCCACUUCAAUCAUAAGACUGCUCUUCCAGCUGGUCCUGCAUAACAUAACAUGUUAUUAUUACCCUUCUCCAGUCUAAAUGCUGAGCUCGAGGCAAGAAGGCAGAAUGUCCCAUGUUUAUAAGUCUUUGGUAUGACUCGGCCGGGAAUCGAACCCACCGUGACGACCUCCCGUUCAUGAGGCGGACGCUCUACCACUAAGCCAUAUGUAUAUUUUCUCUGCUCCCACAUUGUUAUGUGAGAGAAGUUUGGUAAUCAUGUUUAAUAAUUCUGAAAAUUUGUUUGUAAUCUCAUUGAUACGAUUAUAUUUCUAUGUUUCAUAUACAUGUACAAAACUUUGAUUUAGAUGAAUUGUGAUUGUAAACUUAUCGAUUUGAGAGAGUCAAAAAAUAAAAUAUUAUUUAAAACAGAAAAAUCUUUUUUCUUGCGAAGUCACUAGCUACUUUUUUUCGCACGAUAAAGCUUGUUAUUUUUAUACUUAACAGUUGUUUUUUCCAUUUUAGACAAAUUUCUCCUUUAUCUUGCUUAUUUUAGGUUAACCGUUUGUGGAAAAUCAGUAUUACCGCAGAAAAUGUUUGGUUAGAUCAAUAUUUUAAGAAUUGUUUGGUUGCUGUGAAGUGUGAUAAGUACAUUAUAAAUUUGUGAUUUCGAUUAAAGUAUUGUUCAGUGAUUUAUGGAUUUAAAUACUUUGUACAUCGACUAAAAUGAUGAAUUUUGAAUUGAAUAAAAAUGAAAAUAGCAGUA